This 435-nucleotide ribosomal RNA is filed under the name uncultured bacterium. Its description in RNAcentral is "partial 16S ribosomal RNA". It matches the Rfam family "Bacterial small subunit ribosomal RNA", at positions 29 to 507 of the family's 1533-position model. The record is from RNAcentral.
AACGAACGCUGGCGGCAUGCCUAACACAUGCAAGUCGAACGAUUGCCUUCGGGUGAUAGUGGCGCACGGGUGCGUAACGCGUGGGAAUCUGCCCUUAGGUUCGGAAUAACAGCUGGAAACGGCUGCUAAUACCGGAUGAUAUCGCGAGAUCAAAGAUUUAUCGCCUGAGGAUGAGCCCGCGUUGGAUUAGGUAGUUGGUGGGGUAAAGGCCUACCAAGCCGACGAUCCAUAGCUGGUCUGAGAGGAUGAUCAGCCACACUGGGACUGAGACACGGCCCAGACUCCUACGGGAGGCAGCAGUGGGGAAUAUUGGACAAGGGGCGCAAGCCUGAUCCAGCAAUGCCGCGUGAGUGAUGAAGGCCCUAGGGUUGUAAAGCUCUUUUACCCGGGAAGAUAAUGACUGUACCGGGAGAAUAAGCCCCGGCUAACUCCGUG